GUGUUUAAUUAAAGUGGAUGGGCUAAGGAUGAUGACUUGUUUUUUAUUUUUGUUUUUAAUUUUCUCCCAUUGCCUUCCCUCCCUCUUCUUGCCAAGCAUGAUGAUUUAUGAAAGCAAAUGGAGGCUACAAAGAAAGGAGUGAUAACGUGAUAUGUACACUUUAAUAUCCACCGUCUGUACCCUGAUGGUGAAGUCAAGAGCACAGGACAGUACUUGGCUGAAGUUAUAUACAUGGAGUCACCAUUGGCUGACCCCAGCAGAAGCCAGGAGGACGAGAAAGCCUGGGUAAUGCAGGUCAUAAAGAGAUGGGCAGAAGGGAGAUCUAGAAACGCAAAUUAAAAAUAACUAGCAAACACAUGCUGUUCUCUAAUUGUAAUGCCCCUCCCUAUUUUUUAUCUGUCAAAAUCCUGAUCACUCAAUUCAUGAGGAACAUUCUCUGUGGAAUUACAGUGCUUCCCAACAAAG
Long non-coding RNA from Neofelis nebulosa (Clouded leopard), 465 nucleotides. RefSeq lists it as uncharacterized. The transcript is spliced from 2 exons. The record is from RefSeq and is a predicted model, not a curated record. NCBI's taxonomy places the organism in Eukaryota, Metazoa, Chordata, Mammalia, Carnivora, Felidae.